This 200-nucleotide unclassified non-coding RNA is filed under the name Coprinopsis sp. Its description in RNAcentral is "partial internal transcribed spacer 2". Lineage: Eukaryota; Fungi; Basidiomycota; Agaricomycetes; Agaricales; Psathyrellaceae. The record is from RNAcentral.
UUAAGUUCAGCGGGUAGUCCUACCUGAUUUGAGGUCAAAAUUGUCAUGUGUUGUCCUUGCGGACGGUUAGAAGCAGGUCAAAGUUUAGCAAUCCCAAGUCCAACGGCGUAGAUAAUUAUCACACCAAUAGAUUAGGAGCCUAACCCACUAAUACAUUUCAGAGGAGCAGACCACACAAGUGUAGACCUGCAAAGCCCCCA